GGUUAAGCGACUAAGCGUACACGGUGGAUGCCCUGGCAGUCAGAGGCGAUGAAGGACGUGCUAAUCUGCGAUAAGCGCCGGUAAGGUGAUAUGAACCGUUAUAACCGGCGAUUUCCGAAUGGGGAAACCCAGUGUGAUUCGUCACACUAUCAUUAACUGAAUCCAUAGGUUAAUGAGGCGAACCGGGGGAACUGAAACAUCUAAGUACCCCGAGGAAAAGAAAUCAACCGAGAUUCCCCCAGUAGCGGCGAGCGAACGGGGAGGAGCCCAGAGCCUGAAUCAGCAUGUGUGUUAGUGGAAGCGUCUGGAAAGGCGCGCGAUACAGGGUGACAGCCCCGUACACAAAAGCGCAUGUGCUGUGAGCUCGAUGAGUAGGGCGGGACACGUGGUAUCCUGUCUGAAUAUGGGGGGACCAUCCUCCAAGGCUAAAUACUCCUGACUGACCGAUAGUGAACCAGUACCGUGAGGGAAAGGCGAAAAGAACCCCGGCGAGGGGAGUGAAAAAGAACCUGAAACCGUGUACGUACAAGCAGUGGGAGCCCCACCACCAAAGCAUUCUCUGGUGUUGAAGGCCCUGCAAAGCAGCAUCGCGGUGGCGGAGCGUCGUUUGCGACGCCCAACACACAAAACAAGCGGUGAAUGCUUUGGGGUGGGGUGACUGCGUACCUUUUGUAUAAUGGGUCAGCGACUUAUAUUCUGUAGCAAGGUUAACCGAAUAGGGGAGCCGGAGGGAAACCGAGUCUUAAUUGGGCGUUAAGUUGCAGGGUAUAGACCCGAAACCCGGUGAUCUAGCCAUGGGCAGGUUGAAGGUUGGGUAACACUAACUGGAGGACCGAACCGACUAAUGUUGAAAAAUUAGCGGAUGACCUGUGGCUGGGGGUGAAAGGCCAAUCAAACCGGGAGAUAGCUGGUUCUCCCCGAAAGCUAUUUAGGUAGCGCCUCGUGAAUUCAUCUCCGGGGGUAGAGCACUGUUUCGGCUAGGGGGCCAUCCCGGCUUACCAACCCGAUGCAAACUGCGAAUACCGGAGAAUGUUAUCACGGGAGACACACGGCGGGUGCUAACGUCCGUCGUGAAGAGGGAAACAACCCAGACCGCCAGCUAAGGUCCCAAAGUCAUGGUUAAGUGGGAAACGAUGUGGGAAGGCCCAGACAGCCAGGAUGUUGGCUUAGAAGCAGCCAUCAUUUAAAGAAAGCGUAAUAGCUCACUGGUCGAGUCGGCCUGCGCGGAAGAUGUAACGGGGCUAAACCAU
Molecule: ribosomal RNA, 1250 nt
Filed under: Salmonella enterica
Lineage: Bacteria; Pseudomonadati; Pseudomonadota; Gammaproteobacteria; Enterobacterales; Enterobacteriaceae
Description: partial 23S ribosomal RNA
Rfam family: Bacterial large subunit ribosomal RNA
Source: RNAcentral